UACGUAGGGACCAAGCGUUGUUCGGAAUUACUGGGCGUAAAGGGUGCGUAGGCGGUUAUAUAAGUUAGAUGUGAAAUCCCUAGGCUUAACCUGGGAACUGCGUUUAAUACUGUAUAGCUAGAGUACUGAAGAGGUUAGUGGAAUUUCCAGUGUAGCGGUGAAAUGCGUAGAUAUUGGAAGGAACACCAGUGGCGAAGGCGACUAACUGGUCAGAUACUGACGCUGAGGCACGAAAGCGUGGGGAGCAAACAGG
RNAcentral lists this ribosomal RNA (253 nucleotides) under uncultured bacterium. RNAcentral's name for it is "partial 16S ribosomal RNA". It matches the Rfam family "Bacterial small subunit ribosomal RNA", at positions 524 to 776 of the family's 1533-position model. The record is from RNAcentral.